ACGAAAGUGUUGCAUUUUAUGUGCAUCAAGAGCAUCAGAAAAGAAAUAUGCAUUAAAGAAGCAUUGAUUUGGAUAAGGAGGCUUAGGCUAAAUCAAUAAACUCUUGACUGACAUUGAGCACUAACUGGAAAACAACAUCAAGCCCUUUGCUCUUUUACCCAGAAGACAUGUCAUUUCUCAAGCAACAGGUGAUUGGCUACAAAAGAGCGAGUGAAGGGAGUGGGUGGGAAAAUUCACUGGAAUUGGAUAAUAAGAUCUAUUAAUUAACUCCGCUUGGGAAUUGUUCCUCAGCCAGACAUCAUCAAUUAAUUACAUUAGCUCAGUCACCACAAAGUCUUAUUGCUGACGAUAUAAGCUGAGGGAUCAAUUCAUCUGCAAGUCAAUACAAAUAACACAUAAUCUUCACCAAUAUCUGUAUAAGAAUGAAAUGUCUUUUACAAUAAGACAUUCAUAAUAAUAUUAACAGUCCAGAAAGUUAAAGUCAUCGGUGGCACGUGCACAGACCUUACCCAAUACGGUAACCUUGAUUUGUGAAGAGCAUUUUUCAAAUUAUUCUCCUCGAAAAAGAGUAUUCCGUUUUUUUAGUCAAAAACUUAUACAGUAUGUAUUUCUCACAAACUCAGAAACCCUCAGCCACACCUCACUACAUCCUCUCUAUUUGUCUGGGAAUGAUUGAGGCAUGGCUGAUUUUUGGCAAAGAUUUGAGAAAGGAAGAUAAGUGUGUUAAAACAAUUCACUCUCAAUAAAGUUCUCCUAAAGGAGAUAAUUAGAUCUAAGCUAUUAUUCUUGCCAAAGACUGUUCUUUUGCCAGAAGUCUCAAGGUAAGGGAAUUAGCACAACUACACUGAAAUGGCCUUAUAUGUUUUAAAUCUGCACAGUUUUCAUUCUUGUUGUCUUUUGAUAGGACAUAUUUGGCAGCACGCAAAUCAAAAAGUACAAAGGAAAAAAGGGCUUCAUUCCAGGACAAACCCCAUUCUUAAUUAAUAUAUAAUAGUUUGUUUUGAUGCAGGAAAAAUAUUGUUAAAACAGCAUCAAUUAACUUAAUAUUUAACUGAAAAUAUUUUAGAGUGAUAUUUGACAUUACGUUUCUAGGUGUUGCUGUAGUAAGUUGUUGGGGGAAUUUUUAAUCUCACAUUAUAACUAAUGGGUCUUAUGUUUUUCUAUUUUAUAUUAUCUGUUCACCUCCUAUAUGUAAUAAUGGAGGAAUGUCUUAUGGUUUAGCUAUCCGUGAAGGAAGUAAUUUGUCUUUUCUUUAGCGGAGUGAGGCAUCAGAGAACCGGCCGGGUCAGAGGUCAUCUUAGACUGGGGAGGAUAGAGGGGGUUAGCAGUAAAUCUAACCCAGCUAAUGAGUCCAAUGGCUUGUGGAAUUUUACAGAGAAGUCUGGGCCUGAAGUAAAUAACCUUGAGAGAGAUAUAAGAAUGAACUCCGGCCUGUGUUCUGCACGUCAUUUCACUUCACAGUAAUCUGUGUUGGUGACUGAGCCUUAUUGUUCUUGCAAGAAUAAUAAACCUCUUUUCCUUUUAUUAA
Non-coding RNA from Pimephales promelas (fathead minnow), 1528 nucleotides. The record is from RefSeq and is a predicted model, not a curated record. NCBI's taxonomy places the organism in Eukaryota, Metazoa, Chordata, Actinopteri, Cypriniformes, Leuciscidae.